Molecule: long non-coding RNA, 1580 nt
Organism: Peromyscus eremicus (cactus mouse)
Lineage: Eukaryota; Metazoa; Chordata; Mammalia; Rodentia; Cricetidae
Exons: 2
Source: RefSeq, a predicted model, not a curated record
UCUGUGGUUGGUAUGAAAAAUGAAUAGAAAAAUCUGUUAAUAACAAAAGAAAAUAAAUGGCUCUGUUUUAGUUUUAUUUGCUUUCUAUGUUUUGGGGUGGGGUGGGGGAUGGUUUUCUCUAGGCUUCACUAAAGAACAUACUUUGCUCACUUACUUUUAGCUUGCAUUUUAGAGUGACUUGGGAUAUGCUUUUCCUGCCUAUGUCACUUCCUAACUCUCAUGCUCUUCUCUUUUUCUCUCUCUUUGCACCAAGUGCUCAGGAUACAGAGAGCUCAGUUUGCCUUCAUGGUACUUAGUGGUUUGGGGGUAAACUCUUCAUCACCAGAUUAAAUUUUCUUUCCCUUGGGUUGACGUCAGGUGCAAGUGGUUUUAGUGAAGUACCUCCACCAAACGGGAUGCCACGGCUGGAGAGGACAAGGUUCUCGGUAAUGAGAGUUGGGUUGUUGAUCAUCUGUCCUAGCAGUAUCAUUGGGGAAUGCAGUAGAAACCCUCAAUCUUAGGAUGUAGCCCAGGACCAGAGGGUUUCCUUUUCACUGGCUCUCCAGAGGCAUCUCAAAUUUGAAGAGCAUGAGUCAGACAUCAUGCUAAGAGUGUAUGGGGGGAGAGGAGUGAAUUAUUGCGGAGGCUUUGUGUUCUUUAAAAAAGAAAGUAAUUCAGAUGGGGACAGUAGACACCAUGGAGAGUUAGAGGACACAAAAAUCCUGGGGGUAGUGGCACUGUGAAGCUAUGUUCCAACUGUCUUAGCAUGCUGCAUGCCUAUCAUCCUAUUAUCAACCACCUAUGAACUUAGCUGGUGCUUCAAGGAAAGCAAAGCAUGCCGAUGAACACACAAACAUGAUCAAUAGUUCCAGUUUCCAUCCUAAGACUUACUGUGCAAAUUGUAGUGCUAUACAAUUCAUGACUUCAAAGAACUAGUCUUCUGAGGGAUGAUUUCCCUAAUUUGUCAUCCAAACGGUCAGCCCUGAAAUCAUAAACAUACAAGCAACACUAAGUGGACUCGGUUGGUUGUAUUUAUAUAUUUAUUCACUAUAUAUGUAUUAACAAUUUAAAAGGGUGCUAUGAAAUUGAAUUGGAACAGGGUGAGGUAUGGGAGAAGUCGAGGGCAGAAGAGGAAGGGGGUAAUGAUGUAAUUAUAUAAAAUUAAAAAUAAAAAUGUAGCACCAUAGAUGGUAAUUUCUAGUAGGCUUUCAGUGAGAAGAGGCAAGUUGUUCUCGAAGCUUUCUACCUGUGGAGCACUAAAAGCCAUUAAAACACAAAUAGUAGUGUGUGUUUUGUAGCAUUCUGCCAGCAAGUGGGUUCUUACCUGUGGUUUCUGCUGAGGACUUGGGUUGAUGACUCAGGUUGGAAAUAGGACAGCUGAUGGCUCCCUACUUCCCCAAGAUGCCUUUGCCUUUGCAUUCCACUAGAAUGGAGGGGGGUGCGUUGCUUGCUGCUGCCAUUCACCUUGGAAAGGAGUAAAUGUGACCUGUUUUUCACGUGAAACCCACAUCACUCUGGCAGCCAUCAAGGAAGACAGUGAUUACAAGUGGCCAUUGGGCAUGUUUGAGCAUGAAAAGAUUCAAUUAAAUAUUUGGAAUUUA